Molecule: small RNA, 28 nt
Filed under: Bombyx mori (domestic silkworm)
Lineage: Eukaryota; Metazoa; Arthropoda; Insecta; Lepidoptera; Bombycidae
Description: ovarian small RNA-13131
Source: RNAcentral
CAGAGCAUGAAGACGCUCCUGGAGACGC